This is a long non-coding RNA of Malus domestica (apple), 575 nucleotides long. RefSeq lists it as uncharacterized. Lineage: Eukaryota; Viridiplantae; Streptophyta; Magnoliopsida; Rosales; Rosaceae. The record is from RefSeq and is a predicted model, not a curated record.
GUUACGAUCAAAACAAACAUCAAUUUUUAUUAUAUAUUGUAUUGUGUCAUAAGCAAAUAUGGCGAGUAAUUCUACGACUUCUGCUCUUGUGACCCUCUUCAUGUUUGCCAUGGUACUGUCUCCGAUUUCAACCUCUGAGGCAGCUCGAUCCACUUUUAUAGUUUCAGAUGCAACAUGUCCUGCUUGUGUAUGCUGCCCCGGCUCGGUACCAAAAGGCUCUUGCUGCAAAUGUUGUGCUAGUUCAACACCACCAAUUAACUCUCUGUCCAACAAAGGGGCUCCAUGAGACACCAAAAUUAUAUGAUAACGACAAAGAGGCCUAAGUUAUCACGAAAUAAAACAUGGCAUCCUCUCCUUGGAAGCCAUGUUCGUCUUCAAUUCAAUAAUAAGUCUAAAAGUACUGUAACAAAGUGGAAUAUAUAUAGUUACAGCGUCUUUCUUUACAAUAAACACGUUGGCAAGUCAACAAUUAUAUUUAAUGUAUAAUUGUAACUUUUCUAUUAUUAGGAAUUUCUUCCAUAUUCCUAUGUGUAGGGAUUCUAAUUAAUGGAACAAGACACUCAUAUUAUCUCUCU